GACGAACGCUGGCGGCGUGCCUAACACAUGCAAGUCGAACGGACAGGCGAUGAUCUUGUGGGGUGCUUGUGUGGGGCAGGGGUGAGUGAAACGUGAGUAAACUGCCCCUGACAUAGGGAUAACAUCAGGAAACAGGGGCUCAUACAGGGUAGGAGAUCCUGCAGCAUGGUGGGGGUAGGAAAGUUUCGGCUGUAGGGGAUGGACUCGAGGCUUAUCAGCUUGUUUGUGGGGUAGUGGCUUACAAAGGCUUUGACGGGUAGCCGGCAUGAGAGGUUAGACGGGCACAAUGGGACUGAGGGACGGCCCAGAAGCCUACGGUCGGCAGCAGUGGAGAGCAUUGCACAGCGGGCGCGCGCCUGAUGCAGCAACCCUGCGUGCGGGAUGACGUGCUUCUGGUUGUGAACCGCUGUCUACUGUGACGAAGCGUGAGUGACGGUAAUUAGUAAGAAAGCACCGGCUAACUACGUG
RNAcentral lists this ribosomal RNA (468 nucleotides) under uncultured bacterium. Its description in RNAcentral is "partial 16S ribosomal RNA". It matches the Rfam family "Bacterial small subunit ribosomal RNA", at positions 28 to 507 of the family's 1533-position model. The record is from RNAcentral.